Molecule: non-coding RNA, 72 nt
Organism: Phrynosoma platyrhinos (Desert horned lizard)
Lineage: Eukaryota; Metazoa; Chordata; Lepidosauria; Squamata; Phrynosomatidae
Source: the annotation of a GenBank genome assembly
AGUAUGGUGGUGUAGUGGUUUAAGUGUUGGACUACAACUCUGAAGACCAGGGUUCAAUUCUCUGCUGGGUGA